GUGGGGAAUUUUGGACAAUGGGCGCAAGCCUGAUCCAGCCAUUCCGCGUGCAGGAUGAAGGCCUUCGGGUUGUAAACUGCUUUUGUACGGAACGAAAAGGUUCUCUCUAAUACAGGGGGCUGAUGACGGUACCGUAAGAAUAAGCACCGGCUAACUACGUGCCAGCAGCCGCGGUAAUACGUAGGGUGCAAGCGUUAAUCGUAAUUACUUGGCGUAAAGCGUGCGCAGGCGGUGAUGUAAGACAGAUGUGAAAUCCCCGGGCUCAACCUGGGAAAGGCAUUUGUGACGGAAUUGCUGGAGUGCGGCAGAGGGGGAUGGAAUUACGCGUGUAGCAGUGAAAUGCGUAGAUAUGCGGAGGAACACCGAUGGCGAAGGCAAUCCCCUGGGCCUGCACUGACGCUCAUGCACGAAAGCGUGGGGAGCAAACAGGAUUAGAAACCCGAGUAGUCC
Molecule: ribosomal RNA, 450 nt
Filed under: uncultured bacterium
Lineage: Bacteria
Description: partial 16S ribosomal RNA
Rfam family: Bacterial small subunit ribosomal RNA
Source: RNAcentral